UACGUAGGGUGCAAGCGUUGUCCGGAAUUAUUGGGCGUAAAGAGCUCGUAGGCGGCCUGUUGCGUCCGCUGUGAAAAGCCCGGGGGCUUAACCCCGGGUCUGCAGUGGAUACGGGCAGGCUAGAGGUAGGUAGGGGAGAAUGGAAUUCCCGGUGUAGCGGUGAAAUGCGCAGAUAUCGGGAGGAACACCGGUGGCGAAGGCGGUUCUCUGGGCCUUACCUGACGCUGAGGAGCGAAAGCGUGGGGAGCGAACAGG
Molecule: ribosomal RNA, 255 nt
Filed under: uncultured bacterium
Lineage: Bacteria
Description: partial 16S ribosomal RNA
Rfam family: Bacterial small subunit ribosomal RNA
Source: RNAcentral